This 643-nucleotide ribosomal RNA is filed under the name Turdus philomelos (song thrush). RNAcentral's name for it is "partial 12S ribosomal RNA". It matches the Rfam family "Bacterial small subunit ribosomal RNA", at positions 39 to 1097 of the family's 1533-position model. The record is from RNAcentral. Lineage: Eukaryota; Metazoa; Chordata; Aves; Passeriformes; Turdidae.
GCUAGGUUUAUACAUGCGAGUAUCCGCGCUCCAGUGAGGACGCCCUGGACACCUAAACUUAGGUAGAUAGGAGCAGGCAUCAGGCACACCUAUAACUGUAGCCCAAGACGCCCAGCAAUUGCCACGCCCCCACGGGUUCUCAGCAGUAGUUAACAUUAAGCAAUGAGUGUAAACUUGACUUAGCCAUAGCAAAUCAGAGCCGGUAAAUCCUGUGCCAGCCACCGCGGUCAUACAGGAGGCUCAAAUUAACUUUAUAACGGCGUAAAGAGUGGUCGCAUGUUAUCCAAGUAGCUAAGAUUAAAAAGCAACUGAGCUGUCAUAAGCCCAAGAUGCCCAUAAGGCCUCCGUCUUCAAAGAAGAUCUUAGAACAACGAUUAAUUGAAGCCACGAAAGCCAGGACCCAAACUGGGAUUAGAUACCCCACUAUGCCUGGCCCUAAAUCUUGAUGCUCGAUAUUACCUGAGCAUCCGCCCGAGAACUACGAGCACAAACGCUUAAAACUCUAAGGACUUGGCGGUGCCCCAAACCCACCUANAGGAGCCUGUUCUGUAAUCGAUGAUCCACGAUAUUACCUGACCAUUUCUUGCACGAAACAGCCUAUAUACCGCCGUCGCCAGCCCACCUUUCCUGACAGCCCAACAGU